AACAAACGCUGGCGGCGUGUCUUAAGCAUGCAAGUCGAGCGGCAAGGGCAGCAAUGCCCCUAGAGCGGCGGACUGGUGAGUAACGCGUGGGUGAUCUACCUAGGGCAUGGGGAUAGCCAUUAGAAAUAGUGGGUAAUACCGAAUACGCUCGCAUGGAUGCGUCCAUGCGAGGAAAGGUGCUACGGCACCGGCCUAUGAUGAGCUUGCGUCUGAUUAGCUAGUUGGUGAGGUAAAGGCCCACCAAGGCGAUGAUCGGUAGCCGGCCUGAGAGGGUGUACGGCCACACUGGGACUGAGAUACGGCUCAGACUCCUACGGGAGGCAGCAGCUAAGAAUAUUCCGCAAUGGACGAAAGUCUGACGGAGCGACGCCGCGUGGAUGAUGAAGGCCGAAAGGUUGUAAAGUCCUUUUGCUGGGGAAGAAUAAGCGUGGGAGGGAAUGCCCGCGUGAUGACAUGAACCGGCGAAUAAGCCCCGGCUAACUACGUGCC
This 489-nucleotide ribosomal RNA is filed under the name uncultured bacterium. Its description in RNAcentral is "bacterial SSU rRNA". It matches the Rfam family "Bacterial small subunit ribosomal RNA", at positions 29 to 509 of the family's 1533-position model. The record is from RNAcentral.